This 155-nucleotide ribosomal RNA is filed under the name Erysiphe pisi. Its description in RNAcentral is "5.8S ribosomal RNA". It matches the Rfam family "5.8S ribosomal RNA". Rfam says of the family: 5.8S ribosomal RNA (5.8S rRNA) is a component of the large subunit of the eukaryotic ribosome. It is transcribed by RNA polymerase I as part of the 45S precursor that also contains 18S and 28S rRNA. The record is from RNAcentral. Lineage: Eukaryota; Fungi; Ascomycota; Leotiomycetes; Helotiales; Erysiphaceae. RNAcentral also lists the same sequence under 37 other names.
AAAACUUUCAACAACGGAUCUCUUGGCUCUGGCAUCGAUGAAGAACGCAGCGAAAUGCGAUAAGUAAUGUGAAUUGCAGAAUUUAGUGAAUCAUCGAAUCUUUGAACGCACAUUGCGCCCCUUGGUAUUCCGAGGGGCAUGCCUGUUCGAGCGUC